This 253-nucleotide ribosomal RNA is filed under the name uncultured bacterium. RNAcentral describes it as "partial 16S ribosomal RNA". It matches the Rfam family "Bacterial small subunit ribosomal RNA", at positions 524 to 776 of the family's 1533-position model. The record is from RNAcentral.
UACGAAGGGUGCAAGCGUUACUCGGAAUUACUGGGCGUAAAGCGUGCGUAGGUGGUGAGUUAAGUCUGUCGUGAAAGCCCCGGGCUCAACCUGGGAAUGGCGAUGGAUACUGGCUCGCUAGAGUGCGGUAGAGGAGAGUGGAAUUCCCGGUGUAGCAGUGAAAUGCGUAGAGAUGCGGAGGAACACCGAUGGCGAAGGCAGCCCCCUGGGCUAGCACUGACGCUCAGGCACGAAAGCGUGGGGAGCAAACAGG